UACGUAGGCAGCGAGCGUUGUUCGGAGUUACUGGGCGUAAAGCGUGCGUAGCGGUGCCAUAAGUCUGUUGUGAAAUCUCCCGGCUUAACUGGGAGGGUGCGGUGGAAACUGUGGUGCUGGAGUGUGGGAGAGGUAGGCGGAAUUCCUGGUGUAGCGGUGGAAUGCGUAGAGAUCCGGAAGAACACCGGUGGCGAAGGCGGCCUGCUGGGCAGUGGCUGACGCUGAGGCGCGACAGCGUGGGGAGCAAACAGG
This 252-nucleotide ribosomal RNA is filed under the name uncultured bacterium. Its description in RNAcentral is "partial 16S ribosomal RNA". It matches the Rfam family "Bacterial small subunit ribosomal RNA", at positions 524 to 776 of the family's 1533-position model. The record is from RNAcentral.